Molecule: transfer RNA, 77 nt
Filed under: Escherichia coli
Lineage: Bacteria; Pseudomonadati; Pseudomonadota; Gammaproteobacteria; Enterobacterales; Enterobacteriaceae
Also listed under: 1 other name
Description: tRNA-Arg
Rfam family: tRNA
About the family: Transfer RNA (tRNA) molecules are approximately 80 nucleotides in length.
Source: RNAcentral
GAUGGUGUAGCUCAGUAGGAUAGAGCAGCAGCCUUCUAAGCUGUCGGUCGGUGGUUCAAAUCCAUCCACCAUCGCCA